GUCACGUCGCCAUGACAUCUGUGGCAGCUCUGACGUCACCGCAUGGCCCCGCCCACUCAGGAGGUUUCCCGUCCACAGGCCGUAUCCCGGCCUGGUAGUGGUUCGUCCUGCCGGCUGUCUGGAGUUGUGUGUCCGCCAGCAUGGAGGGCUUCUCGGAGGAGCUGGUGAGCGCUCUGAAGGAGGUGGUCAGCCACAGUAACUGGCAGUGUGUCGGGGACAAGGAGAGGUUUAAAUCCCCCUGUACUAAAUUAUAUUCAGAGGAUGGAGAACAUUUAGUCCUAAUUCACACAGGUGGAAAGUUUUAUGCCAUGGAUUCAGCGUGUCCCCAUGAAGGAGGGCCUUUGGAGCAGGGAGAUAUAGAAGAGCUCUGUGAUGGACGACUGGCCCUGGCCUGUCCAUGGCAUGACUUUGAAUUUUGCUUGGAUGACGGUUCUUCUUCCUCUGGGUUACAGAACCAGGUGUAUGAGGUGAAGGUUUGCGAAGAGAAAAUUUAUAUCCAAACUCAGAAUGCAUUAUCAUUAACCCCUUGGAAGAAAAGUCAGUCCAAACAGCCAGUUAGCAGUGAAGCUACGGAGAACACACAAGUUAUAGACAAUGAAUGUUCCCUGACUUACUGGGCCAGCAAAAUCAUUUGCACUCCAGAUCCAGAAGAGAAGGCUAAACUGACUCAUCACGUACAAGAAUUAUGGAACUCAGGAAUAAUCACAGAAAUCGGAGACACAGAACCCCCUGCCCAGCCAAGCCGCAAAGAGAACCUCACCAUAGUACAGCCAGGCCGAAUCAAGAGAGGCAAAGGAGGAACACUGGCUAGCCGAAUAGCAUUGCUGCACUCCCUAGCAAAUAUCGAGCAGUGGGCAAUAGACCUGUCCUGGGACAUCAUUGCUCGCUUCGCUACUUUUCAACUGCAGACCGGUGAGAGGCUUCCGAAAGAAUUCUUUUCAGAUUUUGUGAAAGUUGCUGGAGAUGAAGCGAAGCAUUACUGUUUGCUGGAGAAGAGGCUUGUAGAGCUGGGGAGUCAUUUUGGAGAUCUUCCUGUACACAACGGCUUGUGGCAGUCUGCUUCAGAUACAGCACACGACCUCCUUGGACGGCUGGCUAUUGUGCAUAUGGUUCAUGAAGCCAGAGGUCUAGAUGUGCACCCUCAGACGCUGCAAAGAUUUGAGGCACAGCGUGAUGAAAGUUCAGCUCAGGUAUUGGAAGUUAUCUACACAGACGAGAUCACCCAUGUGGCAGCCGGCCUGAAGUGGUUCACUUACAUUUGUAAAAUGGAGCAGCGGAUAAAGUAGUGCAUAAAUUUUAUGCUGUGUGAUCCCAUCCUAAAGGGAAAUCCUAAAAAAACAAGCAAGCCAGCUUUCUAGAUGGACUGCCUAUCUACUUUCCAUGAGCUGGUACCAUUAUAUUUCAGAGGAUACCUGAAACCUCCUUUUAAUACCGAGGGCAGGCAAUCAGCAGGGAUGUCUGAAGAGUGGUAUCUUCCCUUAGUAAAACCAUCCUGAAAGAA
This is an RNA transcript of Hyla sarda, 1501 nucleotides long. RefSeq lists it as uncharacterized. Lineage: Eukaryota; Metazoa; Chordata; Amphibia; Anura; Hylidae. The transcript is spliced from 13 exons. The record is from RefSeq and is a predicted model, not a curated record.